This 373-nucleotide ribosomal RNA is filed under the name uncultured Streptococcus sp. Its description in RNAcentral is "bacterial SSU rRNA". It matches the Rfam family "Bacterial small subunit ribosomal RNA", at positions 1003 to 1382 of the family's 1533-position model. The record is from RNAcentral. Lineage: Bacteria; Bacillati; Bacillota; Bacilli; Lactobacillales; Streptococcaceae.
GAAAGUUACUUCGGUACGAUUCGGUGACAGGUGGUGCAUGGUUGUCGUCAGCUCGUGUCGUGAGAUGUUGGGUUAAGUCCCGCAACGAGCGCAACCCCUAUUGUUAGUUGCCAUCAUUCAGUUGGGCACUCUAGCGAGACUGCCGGUAAUAAACCGGAGGAAGGUGGGGAUGACGUCAAAUCAUCAUGCCCCUUAUGACCUGGGCUACACACGUGCUACAAUGGUUGGUACAACGAGUUGCGAGUCGGUGACGGCGAGCUAAUCUCUUAAAGCCAAUCUCAGUUCGGAUUGUAGGCUGCAACUCGCCUACAUGAAGUCGGAAUCGCUAGUAAUCGCGGAUCAGCACGCCGCGGUGAAUACGUUCCCGGGCCUU